Molecule: ribosomal RNA, 433 nt
Filed under: uncultured bacterium
Lineage: Bacteria
Description: partial 16S ribosomal RNA
Rfam family: Bacterial small subunit ribosomal RNA
Source: RNAcentral
AACGAACGCUGGCGGCAUGCCUAACACAUGCAAGUCGAACGAGACCUCCGGGUCUAGUGGCGCACCGGUGCGUAACGCGUGGGAACCUGCCCGUAGGUUCGGAAUAACUCCCCGAAAGAUGUGCUAAUACCGGAUAAUGUCUUCCCACCAAAGAUUUAUCGCUUUUGGAUGGGCCCGCGUUAGAUUCGCUAGUUGGUAGGGUACUAGCAUAGCAAGGCGACGAUCCAUAGCUGGUCUGGGAGGAUGAUAAGCCCCGCUUGAACUCAGACACGGCCCAGAAUGCUACGGGAGGGAGCAGUAGGGAAUAUUAGAGAAUGAGGCAAAGUGUGGUCAAGCAAUGCCGCGUAAGUGAUGAAGGGCUUAGGGUUGUAAAGCUCUUUUUCCCGAGGUGAUAAUGACAGUACCGGGAGAAUAAGCUCCGGCUAACUCCGUG